AUUGAACGCUGGCGGCAGGCUUAACACAUGCAAGUCGAACGAGUGGCGGACGGGUGAGUAAUGCUUGGGAAUCUGGCUUAUGGAGGGGGAUAACGACGGGAAACUGUCGCUAAUACCGCGUACCAUAGGAUGAGCCCAAGUGGGAUUAGGUAGUUGGUGGGGUAAAUGCCUACCAAGCCUGCGAUCUCUAGCUGGUCUGAGAGGAUGACCAGCCACACUGGAACUGAGACACGGUCCAGACUCCUACGGGAGGCAGCAGUGGGGAAUAUUGCGCAAUGGGGGGAACCUGACGCAGCCAUGCCGCGUGAAUGAAGAAGGCCUUCGGGUUGUAAAGUACUUUCAGUCGGGAGGCGUUACCGACAGAAGAAGCACCGGCUAACUCCGUGCCAGCCGCCGCGGUAAUAC
This 405-nucleotide ribosomal RNA is filed under the name uncultured bacterium. RNAcentral's name for it is "partial 16S ribosomal RNA". It matches the Rfam family "Bacterial small subunit ribosomal RNA", at positions 30 to 526 of the family's 1533-position model. The record is from RNAcentral.